Molecule: ribosomal RNA, 253 nt
Filed under: uncultured bacterium
Lineage: Bacteria
Description: partial 16S ribosomal RNA
Rfam family: Bacterial small subunit ribosomal RNA
Source: RNAcentral
UACGUAGGGUGCAAGCGUUAAUCGGAAUUACUGGGCGUAAAGCGUGCGCAGGCGGUUGUGCAAGGCAGAUGGGAAAUCCCCGGGCUCAACCUGGGAACUGCAUUUGUGACUGCACGGCUAGAGUGCGGCAGAGUGAGAUGGAAUUCCGCGUGUAGCAGUGAAAUGCGUAGAUAUGCGGAGGAACACCGAUGGCGAAGGCAAUCUCCUGGGCCUGCACUGACGCUCAUGCACGAAAGCGUGGGGAGCAAACAGG